This 111-nucleotide ribosomal RNA is filed under the name uncultured eukaryote. RNAcentral's name for it is "partial small subunit ribosomal RNA". It matches the Rfam family "Eukaryotic small subunit ribosomal RNA", at positions 1676 to 1785 of the family's 1831-position model. The record is from RNAcentral.
UCGCUACUACCGAUUGAACGGUUUAGUGAGUUUCGAGGAUCGAUUGCUUGCGGGGUCCUGCCUCGUUUGUGGUUGAGAGCAGACACAAACUUGAUCGUUUAGAGGAAGUAA